CGUCGCGAGAAGUCCACUGAACCUUAUCAUUUAGAGGAAGGAGAAGUCG
RNAcentral lists this ribosomal RNA (49 nucleotides) under Combretum collinum subsp. hypopilinum. RNAcentral describes it as "partial 18S ribosomal RNA". Lineage: Eukaryota; Viridiplantae; Streptophyta; Magnoliopsida; Myrtales; Combretaceae. RNAcentral also lists the same sequence under 1 other name. The record is from RNAcentral.